GACGAACGCUGGCGGCGUGCCUAAUACAUGCAAGUAGAACGCACAGUUUAUACCGUAGCUUGCUACACCAUAAACUGUGAGUUGCGAACGGGUGAGUAACGCGUAGGUAACCUGCCUGGUAGCGGGGGAUAACUAUUGGAAACGAUAGCUAAUACCGCAUAAUAUUGAUUAUUGCAUGAUAAUUGAUUGAAAGAUGCUAUUGCAUCACUACCAGAUGGACCUGCGUUGUAUUAGCUAGUAGGUGAGGUAACGGCUCACCUAGGCGACGAUACAUAGCCGACCUGAGAGGGUGAUCGGCCACACUGGGACUGAGACACGGCCCAGACUCCUACGGGAGGCAGCAGUAGGGAAUCUUCGGCAAUGGACGAAAGUCUGACCGAGCAACGCCGCGUGUGUGAAGAAGGUUUUCGGAUCGUAAAGCUCUGUUGUAAGAGAAGAACGGGUGUGAGAGUGGAAAGUUCACACUGUGACGGUAUCUUACCAGAAAGGGACGGCUAACUACGUG
RNAcentral lists this ribosomal RNA (505 nucleotides) under uncultured bacterium. RNAcentral describes it as "partial 16S ribosomal RNA". It matches the Rfam family "Bacterial small subunit ribosomal RNA", at positions 28 to 507 of the family's 1533-position model. The record is from RNAcentral.